AUGGCGUCCCUCCCCAGUGAGGGUUCGCCUCCCCUGUCUAUUAGACAUGGGGCCAGGGUGGUGGCACCCCAGCAGUACACCGUGGAGCAGGUUCUGCUAGCUGUUGGUGAACAGGUGGGCCUUGAGAACAUAACUUAUGGCUCUCGGAUGAACAAGGCUGUGGUUACUUUUCUCCGUGAGGAGCGCUUGGUUCACCUGUUGGUUGAAAGGGGGAUCAUUCUGGAUGAUUUGUUUGUGGCUGUUUCGCCACUGUUUGUGCCAUCUACGCGGGUCACCGUGUCCGGUGUCCCGCUGUUCAUCCCGAAUGAACUACUUGAAAAGGAACUGACCCGCUUUGGAAAGUUUGCUAGCGGGUUCAGGGUUGUUCGUCUUGGCUGCAAAGACGCCAGACUGCAGCACGUUCAGUCACUAAGAAGGCAGGCCUUCAUGUACCUGAACGAUCCUUCGCAGACACUGGAAGUGUCGUUUAAAGUAAGAUAUGAAAACAGCUUAUAUACUGUUUACGCUAGUGCAGGUAGCAUGAAGUGCUUUGUGUGUGGUGAUGUUGGCCAUAAACGCUCAUCCUGCCCUCACAAAGAGCAGGAGGUGUGCCGUGAACAAGACGCUCAUGCUAGGGGGGCAAGUGAGCAGGAGCGCGCUGUAGAUGCCGGUACGGGAGAACAGCCGGCUCGUAGCGGUGCGGACGAGCAGCCGUCUACGAGCGGCGCUGUCAUCGGUGAGCCGCUAGCAGCGCAGGGUGACAGAAUGGAGGUCGCAGCCAGUGCUCCACAUGCUGCGCUAGAAGAACAGGGGAUAGUACAGGGGACCAAUGAGGUGGAGGAUGGAUGUGAUGACAUACAGGAUAGGGAAAGUGUGGAGGAAAGUCAGGACAGUGGACAGACCAAAGCAACGGCAAGUGAGGUGGGUAUUGCGAAUGUAAUUUCAGGUUCUUUGGGCGCAGAAAAUGAGGAAGACGACUUGUUGGAAGAUGAUUCCCUGUCACAAUGCUCUGAUAUUGUUUUACAAGAAGAUCAUCAGCAGUUGUAUUCCUUAGAAGAUAUAAACCGCUUUUUGGAUGAGACAUUUGGUAUGCAGUCUGUGGAAGUCACUGAGUUUUUUCCAGAUGUUGAUCUUUUUAUAAAAUCUGUUCUGAAAAUAAGAAGAGUUGUUGGUUAUGAACAAUUGAGUAAACAGAAAAGAUUCCGUCUUAAAAAGAUCCUGACUAAGUUGAGGAGGGAAAAACGAGGAAAAACUCCUUUAAAAGCAUAG
RNAcentral lists this long non-coding RNA (1248 nucleotides) under Oreochromis niloticus (Nile tilapia). Its description in RNAcentral is "lncRNA (ENSONIG00000027693.1)". Lineage: Eukaryota; Metazoa; Chordata; Actinopteri; Cichliformes; Cichlidae. The record is from RNAcentral.